AAAGGCGUAGUGGAAGGACAACAGGUUGAUAUUCCUGUACCACCGUAAGCCGUUAUGAGCAAUGGGGUGACACAGAAGGGCAGUGACGCGGACUGAUGGAAUAGUCCGUCCAAGCAGUGAGGCUAGUCGGUAGGCAAAUCCGCCGACUAUUAGGCUGGGCUGUGAUGGGGAGCGAAAAUUGCAGUAGCGAAGGUCAUGUACUCCGGCUGUCGAGAAAAGCCUCUAGCCAGGCGAAGGUGCCCGUACCGCAAACCGACACAGGUAGGCGAGCA
RNAcentral lists this ribosomal RNA (272 nucleotides) under Paenibacillus soyae. RNAcentral describes it as "partial 23S ribosomal RNA". It matches the Rfam family "Bacterial large subunit ribosomal RNA", at positions 1405 to 1673 of the family's 2925-position model. Lineage: Bacteria; Bacillati; Bacillota; Bacilli; Caryophanales; Paenibacillaceae. The record is from RNAcentral.